ACGCCUCGCAUGGAUAUCAGCUAAAACAAUUUCAUGUCUGCCAUACAUGUAUUAUGUUGUAAAGACUUGAUUGUCAGAAAGCCCACUAGGAACCGAAAAUAUUCAGCGAGUUUCACACGGACUGUUAUUAGCGGUGCAACUUCCCAUACUCGGAUGCCGGGCCAGAUCCCAAUGCGCUCCUUUUCUUCCUACAUGUUGUGCGUUCAUGCACCAAAUACCACAACAUACUUGAAGGAAAGUUUGAUGGCACUGACUGCUUAAUAAUUGUUAUUAAAGAAGUUUGAAGAGGA
Molecule: non-coding RNA, 290 nt
Organism: Danio rerio (zebrafish)
Lineage: Eukaryota; Metazoa; Chordata; Actinopteri; Cypriniformes; Danionidae
Source: RefSeq, a predicted model, not a curated record